Molecule: long non-coding RNA, 744 nt
Organism: Musa acuminata AAA Group (dessert banana)
Lineage: Eukaryota; Viridiplantae; Streptophyta; Magnoliopsida; Zingiberales; Musaceae
Exons: 3
Source: RefSeq, a predicted model, not a curated record
UCACUGAUCUAAGUUUCACUGUUGUUGCAGUGAAGUAGAGAGAGAAGUGAGCUUUCGAUUUCCAUGGUGGAUGUACCUGGAAUGCUGUGAACUUGAAUGGGGAGACGGUCUGCAAUAUCCCAUCCUUGAACCACCUCUCAGGUUUGCAGGCCAUGGAAUGGGAUCGAUCACCUGAGGAACUGCAGGGUACAGUCUGAGAGUCUCUGAGAUGCAUGCAUGGAGGUAAGCCAAUCUUCCCAUGGAAUCAUAGCUGAGGAAGCCAGCAAACUGCGUCAUCCUGUCAUCGAAAGCCUCGACCAGUAGCGCAACACCUUCUUCCUUGGCGCGCUCUUCUUCGAAUGCCCUGACCUCGUCAUGGAGCUUCUCGGCCACACCAGGGUGUGUCAUCACCAUGUAGAUGAACCAUGACAGCGUCGCCGCCGUCGUGUCCCUUCCUGCGAUCACAAAGUUAAGGACCACAUCUCUGAGGCUCUUGUCGUCGCUGAAGAUGCUGCCGUCGUCCUCGCCGAGCUCGAUGAACCUCGACAGCAGAUCAUGCUUCAUCUGUUGCAGAAGCAAGAACAGAGUUCUAGGAUGGCAACCAGAUCAAAGCAGGAGCGUAUCAGGCGCGCCUCUCCUUGCACGCGAAGAAGCCUUUUGAUCCUCCAAAAGGGAUCGAUGAAUCGGUUAGUGACGAUGAUAUUAGCAUCAUCGAAAGCCUGAGCAAAUGCGUUCUCGGGGAGGUCAGCUGCUAGCGUUCCGAUC